This 98-nucleotide signal recognition particle RNA is filed under the name Hyphomicrobiales bacterium. RNAcentral's name for it is "signal recognition particle sRNA small type". It matches the Rfam family "Bacterial small signal recognition particle RNA". From Rfam's summary of the family: The signal recognition particle (SRP) is a universally conserved ribonucleoprotein involved in the co-translational targeting of proteins to membranes. Archaeal SRP consists of a 7S RNA and homologues of the eukaryotic SRP19 and SRP54 proteins. The record is from RNAcentral. Lineage: Bacteria; Pseudomonadati; Pseudomonadota; Alphaproteobacteria; Hyphomicrobiales. RNAcentral also lists the same sequence under 1 other name.
GGGAGGUUGGCGGUGGACGAGUCCUUCGCCAACCGGGUCAGGUCCGGAAGGAAGCAGCCCUAACGAUUCGGAAUCGGGUUGCCGUCCAACCUCCUUUU